UACGUAGGGUGCGAGCGUUAAUCGGAAUUACUGGGCGUAAAGCGUGCGCAGGCGGCUUUUGCAAGACAGAUGUGAAAUCCCCGGGCGUCAACCUGGGAACGUAGCAUUUGUUGACUGCAAGGCUAGAGUACGGCAGAGGGGGAGUGGAAUUCCGCGUGUAGCAGUGAAAUGCGUAGAUAUGCGGAGGAACACCGAUGGCGAAGGCAAUCCCCUGGGCCUGUACUGACGCUCAUGCACG
RNAcentral lists this ribosomal RNA (238 nucleotides) under uncultured bacterium. Its description in RNAcentral is "partial 16S ribosomal RNA". It matches the Rfam family "Bacterial small subunit ribosomal RNA", at positions 524 to 755 of the family's 1533-position model. The record is from RNAcentral.